AACGAACGCUGGCGGCAUGCCUAACACAUGCAAGUCGAACGAGACCUUCGGGUCUAGUGGCGCACGGGUGCGUAACGCGUGGGAACCUGCCCUUAGGUUCGGAAUAACUCCCCGAAAGGGGUGCUAAUACCGGAUAAUGUCUUCGGACCAAAGAUUUAUCGCCUUUGGAUGGGCCCGCGUUGGAUUAGCUAGUUGGUAGGGUAAAAGCCUACCAAGGCGACGAUCCAUAGCUGGUCUGAGAGGAUGAUCAGCCACACUGGGACUGAGACGCGGCCCAGACUCCUACGGGAGGCAGCAGUGGGGAAUAUAGGACAAUGGGCGAAAGCAUGAUCCAGCAAUGCCGGGUGAGUGAUGAAGGCCUUAGGGUUGUAAAGCUCUUUUACCCGGGAUGAUAAUGACAGUACCGGGAGAAUAAGCUCCGGCUAACUCCGUG
RNAcentral lists this ribosomal RNA (433 nucleotides) under uncultured bacterium. RNAcentral's name for it is "partial 16S ribosomal RNA". It matches the Rfam family "Bacterial small subunit ribosomal RNA", at positions 29 to 507 of the family's 1533-position model. The record is from RNAcentral.